This is a long non-coding RNA of Limulus polyphemus (Atlantic horseshoe crab), 100 nucleotides long. RefSeq lists it as uncharacterized. Lineage: Eukaryota; Metazoa; Arthropoda; Merostomata; Xiphosura; Limulidae. The transcript has 3 exons. The record is from RefSeq and is a predicted model, not a curated record.
UAGAUUAAUGUCAUAAGUGGGGUACCUUAGGGCUCAGUUUUAGGCCAUUUGCUCUUUUUGAUGUACAUCAAUGACAUAGAUGAAGGAAUAUUCGCUCAAU